Molecule: ribosomal RNA, 301 nt
Filed under: uncultured bacterium
Lineage: Bacteria
Description: partial 16S ribosomal RNA
Rfam family: Bacterial small subunit ribosomal RNA
Source: RNAcentral
CAGUCGCCACGGUAAUACGAAGGGGGCUAGCGUUGUUCGGAUUUACUGGGCGUAAAGGGCGCGUAGGCGGACUGAUAAGUCAGGGGUGAAAUCCCAAGGCUCAACCUUGGAACUGCCUUUGAUACUGUUUGUCUUGAGUUCGAGAGAGGUAAGUGGAACUGCGAGUGUAGAGGUGAAAUUCGUAGAUAUUCGCAAGAACACCAGUGGCGAAGGCGGCUUACUGGCUCGAAACUGACGCUGAGGCGCGAAAGCGUGGGGAGCAAACAGGAUUAGAUACCCCUGUAGUCCCUGUCUCUUAUAC